This is a long non-coding RNA of Poecilia latipinna (sailfin molly), 778 nucleotides long. RefSeq lists it as uncharacterized. Lineage: Eukaryota; Metazoa; Chordata; Actinopteri; Cyprinodontiformes; Poeciliidae. The transcript has 2 exons. The record is from RefSeq and is a predicted model, not a curated record.
UUUUAUUUAUUUCUAUUUAAAGAUUUAAUUAAAAUCCUCCUUUCCUUAAUUUAUUCAACACCAAGCAGGCGAGAACAUUAUUGGUCUCGCGAUGUUUCAAUGUCAUGUGACAGCUGCACGUCAGCGUCCUAAAUUGACAGCUACGGCUUUUAUUGCUGCUGAAUCGCACCUUAGGUAGGAGACGCUGUCGGACUCUGACGUGCAGACGUGAACAUUCGGCUAAACGUUGAAACGAUCACGGUUUGUCAAGAGGGAACUGGUGAGUGUUUGUUCGGGAGCUAGCAUGCUAGCACUAGCCUCCCCAGCUGUUAAGUAGGUGACGCCAAUCUAAAGCACAUUCAAAUUGAAAUGCUUAUUGAAACUAUUGUUGUGAAAAGAGUAACUUGAAUUUGCAUAAGUUGCAUUUAAUUAUGUAAACUCCUGUAAUUAGAAAAUACAUGUACAUGUUGAUUGAUUAUUUAGGCCUGUUUACACAGGCCAGGUGUAUUGCAGAUCCCCCCCCUCCGCUCAAGGAGUGGCUGAAGGGGUUAAGAUGCAUCACGGAUUGUCUGGCUUCAUGCUGACCAGACUGGCGAGCUAACCGUAUUAGCGGAUCCGGAGAUACAACACUUAUCUGUGAAAACUUCCGAACUGGUUGGAGAUUCGGCCCAACAGUCUUCACUGAUGGAACUGGAUAUUUAUUUUUUGUUUUUCCUUUCAUCAUCAACAAAGACUGGUUGACUUUCUUGGAUUAAGGAACCCUUUUGAACUCUAAAUUGUGGACUAAUUUGUAUAUAUU